CAGCCGCCGCGGGAAUACGUAGGGUGCGAGCGUUAAUCGGAAUUACUGGGCGUAAAGCGUGCGCAGGCGGUUUUGUAAGACAGGCGUGAAAUCCCCGGGCUCAACUUGGGAAUGGCGCUUGUGACUGCAAAGCUAGAGUGCGGCGGAGGGGGAUGGAAUUCCGCGUGUAGCAGUGAAAUGCGUAGAUAUGCGGAGGAACACCGAUGGCGAAGGCAAUCCCCUGGGCCUGCACUGACGCUCAUGCACGAAAGCGUGGGGAGCAAACAGGAUUAGAGACCCCCGUAGUCCCUGUCUCUUAUAC
This 301-nucleotide ribosomal RNA is filed under the name uncultured bacterium. RNAcentral's name for it is "partial 16S ribosomal RNA". It matches the Rfam family "Bacterial small subunit ribosomal RNA", at positions 509 to 807 of the family's 1533-position model. The record is from RNAcentral.